Long non-coding RNA from Leucoraja erinaceus (little skate), 5987 nucleotides. RefSeq lists it as uncharacterized. NCBI's taxonomy places the organism in Eukaryota, Metazoa, Chordata, Chondrichthyes, Rajiformes, Rajidae. The transcript is spliced from 4 exons. The record is from RefSeq and is a predicted model, not a curated record.
CAAGGUUAUUUAUGCACUUUCAGCAGCAUAUUGUUCUUCUCUCUGAUUGCUCAGAAUAGCAAUGAUUAAGGAGAAUGGUCAGAACCUGCCUGUCUGAUGAUUUUUUUUUUUACCAGUAAGUGAAAAAAGGACUUUCCAACCCAAACCAGUUGUACAAUACCCACAUUUGUGGAUGUGACUCACUCAUAAAUCUUGAACCGAAUCCAGCCUGGGCCGCAUGGUGGAGUUGUGGUAGAGUUGCUGCCUUACAGUGUUUAUGGUACCAGAGACCCGGGUUCGAUCCUGGCUACGGGUGCAUGUCUGUACAGAGUUUGUAUGUUCUCCCUGUAACCGCGUGGGUUUUCUCAGAGAACUUCGGUUUCCUCACGCAUUCCAAAGACAUACAGGUUUGUAGGUUAAUUGGCUGGUGUAUAUAUAAAAAUUGUCCCUAGUCUAGGAUAAUAUUAAUGUGCAGGGAUCGCUGGUCAGUGCAGACUCGAUGGGCAAAGGGCCUGUUUCCGCUCUGUACCUCUAAACUAAACUAAACAAAAGUAAAAAACUAAAUCAAACUAAGUAUGCACAGUUGUGUGGACUUGCAGGAUGGGAGACGGGAUUAUUGCUGAAAUCUGUAUGGAACAUAGUAAUAACGACAUUUUACAUUCAUGAAACGCCAGCUGAGAACUUCACCCUCACACAUCUGAGCCAGAAUGUUAAGGGUUAAAUUUCCGCUGUAGGAACCAGAGUACAAAACUUGAUGUUGGUGGUUUAUGGCAGUACUGAGAGGAUGCUGCACUGUGGAUGAGGCCAACUUAAAAAGCUACAGAAAAAGUUCACAUCAAAAAGUGCAUGGGCCACAAUGAGAAAGGCCAGUUAUCAAGGGCAAUAGAUUUAGCAUAAUAGUGCUGAAGACCUGUGUCCAAGUAUGACCUGCACAUCCCUGGGUGUUCCAAAGCUGGCAAACUGCUCAGUUGCCAAAAGAACAGACCAUUGCUUUGCACCACUUCAAACACGUCAACGUCAAGCUACGGCAAGCUAUCGACAACCGGUGACCCAUUAGGACGUCCACCUACGACCACAUCUAUGCAGCUCAGAACAUCACAAAAUCAAACCUCCCUUCCACUGACUCCAUUUAUACCUCGUGUUGCUUCGGCAAGGCCACCAGCAAACUCAAGGAUGAAUUACACCCUGGCCACUCCCUCUUCGCCUUUUUCCCAUCGGGCAAAAGGUAUAGGUGUGAAAACGCAUUCUACCACAACUAAAGAGCAGUUCUGAGCUACUCUCUACCUCAUCAGAGACCCUCAAACUAUCUUUGAUCGGACUUUACUGGCUUUAUCUUGCACUAAGCGUAAUUCAUAUUGUUUUCUUUAUCAUAUAUCUGUACACUGUGGAUAGUUCGAUUGUAAUCAUGUAUUGUCCUUCCGCUGGCUGGUUAGCAUGCAACAGUCAGCUUUACACGCGACACUAAACUAUAUGCAGAAUAUUUGACGAUUCCACCUACAGCCAAUAUAUCUACUUCUAUAUAUGACUACUUGAUAAUUUUCAAGAUGGCGGCGCUGACUUAACAGCUGCGGCCCACCUGCAGUCCGUCUGUUUUUUUUCUUUCUUUCUGUUCCUUUGUCAUGUUUUAGUUAAUUUUGUUUUAUUAAGUUGGGUAUGUGUGUGGGUCGGGUGGGAGAAACAUGUUUGGUCUCUUCCUUCGGGGGAUGCGACUUUUUUUCUGUCGAGGCCUAAUGGCGGAGCUGGCGGCCUCGGAGCUGUGGCGGCGGCAGCAGCAGCGGAGACCCGACUCAGCCCCGGAGCUGUAGCGGCGGCAGCAGCAGCAGCAGCGGUAGCGGAAACCCGACUCGGCCCCGAAGCUGUGGCGGAGGCAGCAGCAGCGGAGACCCGACUCGGCCUCAGAGCUGUGGCUGUGGCGGCAGCGGCGGCGGCAGCAGCAGUGGCAACGGGGACCUGACUCGGCCCCGGAACUGUGGCUGCGGCAGCGACCACCACCCGCCGAGUUUGAACCGGCCCGUUCGCGGAGCAUGGUUGAGCUGCAGGAUUUACCAUUUACCAUCACCCGGUGGGGUCACAACAUCUGGAGCCUGGAUCGCCUCGGCGCAGAGAGAGAACAAAGAGGGAAGAGACAGAGACUUUAAGAUUUUGCCUUCCACCACAGUGAGGAGGUGUUUGGUGAACUCACUGUGGUGGAUGUUAAAUUUGUGUUGAUUGUGUGUUUUUGUCAUUUUUUAUUAUAUGUAUGACUGCAGGGAAAUGAAAUUUCGUUCAGACCGAAAGGUCUGAAUGACAAUAAACAAAUCUAAUCUAAUCUAAUCUAAUUCUUGCAUAAAAACAGUGAAUUUAUAACUUGGCUCUAAUUCAAUGGACAAUCAUUUUGGACUUAAGUCUGAUUAUCUUACUUCCGGAAUGGGUGAUUAGUAUGGUAAGUGAAAUGUCAAUCAAACAGGCUCCUUUGUCCUUUGUUGUUUUUAGCACUGUGCAUAUCCAGGCAAGUAGAGGCAUUAGGUCACACUCCUUCCUUGUGCCCUGCAGAUACUGGAAAGGUAUUGGGGUGAUUACAGGUGAGUCAUUUACUACAGGAUACCCAGCCUCUGACCUGCUGUUGAAGCCACACUAAUUAUGUGUCCAGCCCAAUUAAAUCUCUGGACAAUAGUAACUCACAGGAUAUUGAUAGUGUUUGGCACAUUAAUGGUAACAGCACUGAAUAGCACAGUUAGAUAGUUAGUGUUCCUCUUGUUUGGCGAUGGUCAUUUCGUUCAGUUUAGUUUAGUGUAUUGUCACGUACCAAGGUACAGUGAAAAGCUUUUGUUGCGUGCUAACCAGUCAGUGGAAAUACGAUACAUGAUUACAAUCGAGCCAUCCACAGUGUACAUGAUAUGGACCAAACAUGGUAGAUGGGACUAGUGUAGGUAUAGGUGGGGCAUCUUGGCUGGCAUGGGCAAGUUGGGCCAAAGGGCCUGUUUCUAUGCUAUAUGACUCUCUGACCUAAAUAUUCUGGCACAUCUGAGGCACAAGUAUUAUUUUACACUUAUCAGUCCAUGCCUGAAUAUUGUCUAGGUUUAGCUGCGUGCAGGCAUAGACUACCUCUUUCGCUGAGAAGUUGUAAAUUAAAUUGAACAUUGUGCAAUCAACAACAAGGAUUGCCACAACUGACUUUAUGAUGAAGAAAGGUCAGCGAAGAAAUAAAUGAAGAUGGUCAGGACCAUGACAUGGCACAAGUGCAAAUCUUCAUCAAUGUUCAGGUAUUUGGCUGAUUAAGCACCAAUAAUUAUAAUAAUCUUCCCUUACACGAGGGUGGACUCCAACACUUGAUGUUACUGGAUUAUUAGAAAACCAAAACAACGUUAUUUGUCGACAGAAUGCUUGUAAGGUCAACCUCUUUGAAACCUAAUUCAUACCCAAAUGCUCAGGGGAUCUGAUCAGUUAAUUCAACAGUUCAAUGCUGCCAUUUUCUGAAUUAACAUUGCUGCGCUAUCUCCUUGGCAGCCUAACACUUAUUAAACUGAUCAAGCCAUUCUCUAAAGAUAGACACAAAGCUGGAGUAACUCAGUGGGUCACACAGAAUCUCUGGAGAAAAGGAAUCGGUAAUGUUUCAGGUCGAGACCCUUCUUUAGACCAGCAUCUGCCAUUCCUUCCUACACAAGCUAUUCUCAAAGAUGGAUUUUAGCUAUGAUGAAAUACUGAACAGACAAAGAUUGCAUUCAAAUUGAAGAGCAGAAAUUGAAGGGUGAUUUAGUUCAUGGGUUAUAACAUUUUGUCUCUGUGUAGGAUUAUGGUGAGGUGAUGGUUUGGAGGGACCUCAUAGCCUAGAAAGAGGCCAAAAAUCUGGUGAUACAGGUUGAAAACAAUGGAUUGAAAGUUCAGAGGGAAGUUGAGGAGUAACAAUGUUAUUAAGAGGAAUAGGGUUCAAGAGUUAAGAGUCAAGAGUUAUUUGUCAUAUGUACCAGAACAAUGAGAUCCUUACUUACUACAGCUAUACAAGCACACCAACAAUAAAAAAAACCAUUAAAUUAUCAGUUAUUCUAAGUAAAACAGACCAUGAUAUCAUCACAACUAUAGUAGUACAUAGUCCGUGGCAGUUCAAUGCAGGAUGGUUCAAGAACCUGAUAGUUGAUGGGAAGAAGAAGCUGUUCUUGAGCCAGGAGGUAAUGACUGCUGGAACAUGGCACAGGGAGAAUCCUAUUAAACAAUUAUUUGUGAAUGCACUUGAGGCAAACAAUAAAGUUACAAACCAAAAGCUGGCUCUCAAGUUCUUCUGCCUACCAUGAAUGAUAGUUUGAAUGACCUACUUCUUUGCUGAGAAUUUCACUGACUCUGUCACUCCCUACAGAAAUUCAACCAUUCUUGGUUACAUUGCUAGUAUUUAUUUCAAGAAGGGUUGUAUAAAAAAAAUGUAAGGUGCAGGUAAGGCCGCAUUUGGAAUAUUGUGAGCAAUUUUUGGCACCAUAUCUGAGGAAGGAUGUGCUGGCUCUGGAAUGGGUCCAGAGGAGGUUUACUAAAAUUAUCCCACGAAUUAGUAGGUUAACUUAUGAUGAGCAUUUGACAGCACUGGGCCUGUGCUCGCUGGAGUUCAGAAAAAUGAGGGGGCACCUCAUUGAAACAUACAGAAUAGUGAAAGGCUUGGAUAGAGUAGAUGUGGAGAUGAUUUUUCCACUGGUGGGGGAGUCUAGGACUAGAGGUUACAGCCUCAGAAUUUAAGGACUUUCUUUUAGGAAGUAGAUUAGGAGAAAUGUAUUUAGUCAUAGGAGGGUGAAUCUGUGGAAUUUGCUACAGAAGGUUGUGGAGGCCAAAUCAGUGGCUAUUUUUAAGGCAGAGAUAGAUAGAUUCUUGAUUAGUGCAGGUGUCAGAGGUUAUGGGGAAAAGGAAGGAGAAUGGGGUUAGGAGGGAGAGAUAGAUCAGCCAAUGGCGGAAUAGACUUGAUGGGCCGAAUGGCCUAAUUCUAUUUCUAUCACUUAUGACCUAUGACCAUUCAUUUAAAUUGGCAAAGGCGAGCGGAUCUAGGAAAUGAAGAUAAAAUACAGAGGCAUGAAAAUCUGAAAUAAAUCCCCAAAAUGCUGAAAACACUCAACUGGUGAGACAGCAGGCUACUGAGUUAACACUUUAGGUUAAAUGCCUCAUUACGGCAUCAUCUGUUUAUAUUUUGGAUCUGAGAAAUGUUUUGACUGUUUACAGACAGAUUAAAGAAUCAAACUAGUAUUUUUAGCCCGCCAGUUUUUUUAAUAAUCCACUAAAGCCACAUUUAAACUGAUUCUAAUUGCCACUUUAGUCUCCUCCUGUUUCCCAAAAUUAAAUUAAAAUGGAUUGUAUCAUUCUGCAAGGAACAGCACCUGCAGUUAUUUUAACAUGAUUGCAGCCUUUCUUUGCCACACCACACCUGAGCAUAAACAUCAAAGGCAACCAACUCUAGCCAAAAUAAAACAGUUUCAUAAUUUCUCAGUCUAAAUCAAUUUACCUAACCAUUAAAUAAUUCCACUGGCAUUGAAAAAAGGAUCAGUUCACAUCUUGCACUGUCCUGUGUGCUUACAGAUGUGGAGCAAGUCAGUCCUUGAACAUUUUGUUUGGGCAGCAAAUAUCAUAUUUUCUAUGCAUAGCUAGCACGAUUUCACUUUCCGCAUCAGGUUCGGGUUUUUGGCAAAGAUUUGAUUUUGCAAAACUAAAAUCAAUACAUAUAGUCGUAUAUAAUUUAAACAAGAGGACAUGACUUCAGAAUUAAGGGACAGAAGUUUAGGGGUAACAUGAGGGGGAACUUCUUUACUCAGAGAGUGGUGGCGGUGUGGAAUGAGCUUCCAGUGGAAGUGGUGGAGGCAGGUUCGUUGGUAUCAUUUAAAAAUAAAUUGGAUAGGCAUAUGGAUGAGAAGGGAAUGGAGGGUUAUGGUAUGAGUGCAGGCAGGUGGGACUAAGGGAAAAAAAGUUGUGGCGGCACGGACUUGUAGGGCCGAGAUGGCCUGUUUCCGUGCUGUAAUUGUUAUAUGGUUAUAUGUUAUAUGUUAUAAUUGGUUGUGAAGUUA